AUGCUCAAGUUCCUGUCCAGGGUUGUGGUGGAGUACAAUCCGCUGGACCCGCGCAAGGCGGCGGCCGUGGAGCUCCUCGCGCAGUGCAACGGCCGCAAGGCCAAGGACUCCAACCCCACCUGCUCCGUCGAGCUUCGGCGCCUGCCCUCCCCGGCCGCGGCCGAGGACCCCAAGGCCCAACCGCCCCCGCGCGUCCUCGUCACCUACCUCAACGGCGCCGAGGAGGCCUUCGUCGCCGCCGACGGCGCCACCGCGCAGGGCAUGCGCGACCAGAUCCUCGCCCGCGGCCGCCUCCUCGAGACCGAGCAGCUCUUCCGCGAGGCCGGGGAGAAGUGGCCCGUCGUCAUCCCCGAGGAGGAGCUCGGCAUGUCAUUCCCCGGCAUCAAGCCAAAGAAAGCCGAGGAGAAGCCCCAGGCUUCGUGA
Molecule: ribosomal RNA, 423 nt
Filed under: Triticum aestivum (bread wheat)
Lineage: Eukaryota; Viridiplantae; Streptophyta; Magnoliopsida; Poales; Poaceae
Description: partial small subunit ribosomal RNA
Source: RNAcentral